UCGAACUGUGCCCCACUGCUCCUUCAGGU
RNAcentral lists this small RNA (29 nucleotides) under Bombyx mori (domestic silkworm). RNAcentral describes it as "piRNA piR-bmo-1497002". Lineage: Eukaryota; Metazoa; Arthropoda; Insecta; Lepidoptera; Bombycidae. The record is from RNAcentral.